GUCGGAGUGGUGAAAUGGCAAACACGCCGGCUUCAGGAGCCGGUGCCGCAAGGCUUGAGGGUUCGAGUCCCUCCUCCGACA
Molecule: transfer RNA, 81 nt
Filed under: Candidatus Wolfebacteria bacterium
Lineage: Bacteria; Candidatus Wolfeibacteriota
Description: tRNA-Leu
Rfam family: tRNA
About the family: Transfer RNA (tRNA) molecules are approximately 80 nucleotides in length. Their secondary structure includes four short double-helical elements and three loops (D, anti-codon, and T loops).
Source: RNAcentral